Molecule: unclassified non-coding RNA, 255 nt
Filed under: Hevea brasiliensis (rubber tree)
Lineage: Eukaryota; Viridiplantae; Streptophyta; Magnoliopsida; Malpighiales; Euphorbiaceae
Source: RNAcentral
CGCCAAAUAACUGCAUUCAAGAGAAGAACCUAAGUUGAAGAAAUAAAUUAUAUAUAGCACAUAGAAGAUUUAAAGAGAUUAGGAUCCUUUUUAUGAUUUAAAGAGAUCAGGAUCCUUUUUAUGUUUGUGUAAACAUCAUAUCAUGUUAGUCUUUAAACUUAAAAUUAAUAGUUAAAAUUUUCCUCAAAAUUAAAUUGUGAAUUUUAGGAAGAGAUUGGUUACAUAAUAACGUUCAACUAAUGGAUGGGAUAGAAU